This 858-nucleotide ribosomal RNA is filed under the name Salmonella enterica subsp. enterica serovar Stourbridge. RNAcentral describes it as "partial 23S ribosomal RNA". It matches the Rfam family "Bacterial large subunit ribosomal RNA", at positions 689 to 1547 of the family's 2925-position model. Lineage: Bacteria; Pseudomonadati; Pseudomonadota; Gammaproteobacteria; Enterobacterales; Enterobacteriaceae. The record is from RNAcentral.
UGGGCGUUAAGUUGCAGGGUAUAGACCCGAAACCCGGUGAUCUAGCCAUGGGCAGGUUGAAGGUUGGGUAACACUAACUGGAGGACCGAACCGACUAAUGUUGAAAAAUUAGCGGAUGACCUGUGGCUGGGGGUGAAAGGCCAAUCAAACCGGGAGAUAGCUGGUUCUCCCCGAAAGCUAUUUAGGUAGCGCCUCGUGAAUUCAUCUCCGGGGGUAGAGCACUGUUUCGGCUAGGGGGCCAUCCCGGCUUACCAACCCGAUGCAAACUGCGAAUACCGGAGAAUGUUAUCACGGGAGACACACGGCGGGUGCUAACGUCCGUCGUGAAGAGGGAAACAACCCAGACCGCCAGCUAAGGUCCCAAAGUCAUGGUUAAGUGGGAAACGAUGUGGGAAGGCCCAGACAGCCAGGAUGUUGGCUUAGAAGCAGCCAUCAUUUAAAGAAAGCGUAAUAGCUCACUGGUCGAGUCGGCCUGCGCGGAAGAUGUAACGGGGCUAAACCAUGCACCGAAGCUGCGGCAGCGACGCUGAUGCGUUGUUGGGUAGGGGAGCGUUCUGUAAGCCUGUGAAGGUGGCCUGUGAGGGUUGCUGGAGGUAUCAGAAGUGCGAAUGCUGACAUAAGUAACGAUAAAGCGGGUGAAAAGCCCGCUCGCCGGAAGACCAAGGGUUCCUGUCCAACGUUAAUCGGGGCAGGGUGAGUCGACCCCUAAGGCGAGGCCGAAAGGCGUAGUCGAUGGGAAACGGGUUAAUAUUCCCGUACUUGGUGUUACUGCGAAGGGGGGACGGAGAAGGCUAUGUUGGCCGGGCGACGGUUGUCCCGGUUUAAGCGUGUAGGUGUGUGUUCCAGGUAAAUCCGGUU